Molecule: long non-coding RNA, 765 nt
Organism: Pocillopora verrucosa
Lineage: Eukaryota; Metazoa; Cnidaria; Anthozoa; Scleractinia; Pocilloporidae
Source: RefSeq, a predicted model, not a curated record
UGUCACUAACCUCGUGUUGCCGCGUUAUUUCGCGAGUUGUCUACUCGCAGAGCGUGAUGCAUUUGCUUUGUUAGUCGAAAAGUACUGGGAAUUAGUUUCAAGAAAACCCGACAUGGCGUCGUAAACAAUGAAACGAACCGCCGAUUUUGAUACCAUAAUAGUUGAAAAAAACGGUAUUUUACGAAUCACAUGCCUUUCAGUACAUGUAAGCACUUGUCUGAUGACGUUUACAUUGAAGAAAUGGCGUUACAGCGGCUGGAAGACUUUGAAAUGGAGACCACGUGUGACAUUCAAAUCAAGUGUCAAAGCUGAAUGCAGAUGAUGCCACCACUGUCAAAAGGAUGCUGGUGCAAACAAGAAUUAUAGAGCCUGGUAAGAGAUUAUUUUUUGAGUCAAUGUGAUGCUCCAAGGAAAUUUGAGACCUCAAAUUCCAAGAGGUAGUGAGGAAUGACAAUUUGAAGCAGUAAACCACAGAAAAUUUUUAACCUUGGAAAGAAGCAAGAAUUGGGGGUCCAACCGCAAGUUAAAAAGUUCACAGAGACCAGGAUACUUAAUGUUUUGGUGUUUCAACCCCAACAAACCGAAAAUUUUAACUUCGAAAGGAGGUGUAAAUUUGGAGUAUAAAAACCUCCGCCAGCUUCUUUGUGGUUCACUUAGGUAACGUACAGUGGGGACAGAUACCAUUUGAAGCUCUCUCUACCUUACUUUAAGAUUUCAUGAUAAAUGACCAAGGAAAAAAGUGUCAACCGUGGAAGGAAGGAAAAA